This 30-nucleotide non-coding RNA is filed under the name Rattus norvegicus (Norway rat). Lineage: Eukaryota; Metazoa; Chordata; Mammalia; Rodentia; Muridae. The record is from RNAcentral.
UGGAAUUGCACAAAUGAUGAUGGGAUGAUU